CCUACGGGUGGCUGCAGUGGGGAAUAUUGCACAAUGGGGGCAACUCUGAUCCAGCAAAGCCGCGUGCGUGAUGAAGGAUUUCCGUGUUUAAAGCUGUAUUAGGUGGGAAUUAAAAAGAGGGUACUUAACAUCGAAUCCCCGGCUAACUACGUGCCAGCAGCCGCUGUAAUACGGAGGGCGCACGCGUUAGCCGGAUUUACUGGGUGUAAAGGGAGCGUAGACGGAAAGGCAAGUCAGAAGUGAAAACCCACGGCUCAACCGUGGAAUUGCUUUUGAAACUGGAGAACUAGAGUGCGGAAGGGGAAAGAGGAAUUCCGGGUGUAGCGGUGAAAUGCGUAGAUAUUAUGAGGAACACCAGUGGCGAAGGAGUGUGACCGGACCGAAACUGACGUUGAGGCUCGAAAGCGUGGGGAGCAAACAGGAUUAGAUACCCUAGUAGUC
RNAcentral lists this ribosomal RNA (441 nucleotides) under uncultured bacterium. RNAcentral describes it as "partial 16S ribosomal RNA". It matches the Rfam family "Bacterial small subunit ribosomal RNA", at positions 338 to 795 of the family's 1533-position model. The record is from RNAcentral.